RNAcentral lists this ribosomal RNA (468 nucleotides) under uncultured bacterium. Its description in RNAcentral is "partial 16S ribosomal RNA". It matches the Rfam family "Bacterial small subunit ribosomal RNA", at positions 28 to 507 of the family's 1533-position model. The record is from RNAcentral.
GACGAACGCUGGCGGCGUGCUUAACACAUGCAAGUCGAACGGAAAGGCCCUGCUUUUGUGGGGUGCUCGAGUGGCGAACGGGUGAGUAACACGUGAGUAACCUGCCCUUGACUUUGGGAUAACUUCAGGAAACUGGGGCUAAUACCGGAUAGGAGCUCCUGCUGCAUGGUGGGGGUUGGAAAGUUUCGGCGGUUGGGGAUGGACUCGCGGCUUAUCAGCUUGUUGGUGGGGUAGUGGCUUACCAAGGCUUUGACGGGUAGCCGGCCUGAGGGGGUGACCGGCCACAUUGGGACUGAGAUACGGCCCAGACUCCUACGGGAGGCAGCAGUGGGGAUUAUUGCACAAUGGGCGGAAGCCUGAUGCAGCAACGCCGCGUGCGGGAUGACGGCCUUCGGGUUGUAAACCGCUUUCGCCUGUGACGAAGCGUGAGUGACGGUAAUGGGUAAAGAAGCACCGGCUAACUACGUG